AUGGAGGCAACUCUGACCCAGCCAUGCCGCGUGCAGGAUGACGGCCCUAUGGGUUGUAAACUGCUUUUCUGAGAGAAGAAUCCCCCCGAGUUUUCGGGGGUUGCCGGUAUCUCAGGAAUAAGCAUCGGCUAACUCCGUGCCCAGCAGCCGCGGUAAUACGGAGGAUGCAAGCGUUAUCCGGAUUCAUUGGGUUUAAAGGGUGCGUACGCGGGAAAGUAAGUCAGUGGUGAAAGCCUGCAGCUCAACUGUGGAACUGCCAUUGAUACUGCUUUUCUUGAGUUUGGUUGAGGUAGGCGGAAUGUGUAAUGUACCGGUGAAAUGCUUAGAUAUUACACAGAACACCGAUUGCGAAGGCAGCUUACUAAACCGAUACUGACGCUGAUGCACGAAAGCGUGGGGAGCGAACAGGAUUAGAUACCCUGGUAGUCCACGCUGUAAACUAUGAUCACUCGCUGUUGGCAAUACAUCGUCAGCGGCUGAGCGAAAGCAUUAAGUGAUCCACCUGGGGAGUACGGUUGCAAGAUUGAAACUCAAAGGAAUUGACGGGGGCCCGCACAAGCGGUGGAACAUGUGGUUUAAUUCGAUGAUACGCGAGGAACCUUACCUGGGCUUAAAUGUAGACUGCAUUUCCGGGAAACCGGAAUUUCCUUCGGGACCGUCUACAAGGUGCUGCAUGGUUGUCGUCAGCUCGUGCCGUGAGGUGUCGGGUUAAGUCCCAUAACGAGCGCAACCCCUAUCGUUAGUUGCCAGCGAGUAAUGUCGGGGACUCUAGCGAAACUGCCGGUGUAAACCGAGAGGAAGGUGGGGAUGACGUCAAAUCAGCACGGCCCUUAUGUCCAGGGCUACACACGUGUUACAAUGGUCAGUACAAAGGGCAGCUACCUGGUGACAGGAUGCUAAUCUCGAAAACUGGUCUCAGUUCGGAUUGGAGUCUGCAAUUCGACUCCAUGAAGCUGGAAUCGCUAGUAAUCGCGCAUCAGCAACGGCGCGGUGAAUACGUUCCCGGGCCUUGUACACACCGCCCGUCAAGCCAUGGAAGCUGGGGGUGCC
This 1050-nucleotide ribosomal RNA is filed under the name uncultured organism. RNAcentral describes it as "bacterial SSU rRNA". It matches the Rfam family "Bacterial small subunit ribosomal RNA", at positions 371 to 1421 of the family's 1533-position model. The record is from RNAcentral.